GACGAACGCUGGCGGCGUGCUUAACACAUGCAAGUCGAACGGAAAGGCCCUGCUUUUGUGGGGUGCUCGAGUGGCGAACGGGUGAGUAACUCGUGAGUAACCUGCCCUUGACUUUGGGAUAACUUCAGGAAACUGGGGCUAAUACCGGAUAGGUGCUCCUGCUGCAUGGUGGGGGUUGGAAAGUUUCGGCGGUUGGGGAUGGACUCGCGGCUUAUCAGCUUGUUGGUGGGGUAGUGGCUUACCAAGGCUUGGACGGGUAGCCGGCCUGAGAGGGUGACUGGCCACAUUGGGACUGAGAUACGGCCCAGACUCCUACGGGAGGCAGCAGUGGGGAAUAUUGCACGAUGGGCGGAAGCCUGAUGCAGCAACGCCGCGUGCGGGAUGACGGCCUUCGGGUUGUAAACCGCUUUCGCCUGUGACGAAGCGUGAGUGACGGUAAUGGGUAAAGAAGCACCGGCUAACUACGUG
Molecule: ribosomal RNA, 468 nt
Filed under: uncultured bacterium
Lineage: Bacteria
Description: partial 16S ribosomal RNA
Rfam family: Bacterial small subunit ribosomal RNA
Source: RNAcentral